Molecule: ribosomal RNA, 624 nt
Filed under: uncultured bacterium
Lineage: Bacteria
Description: bacterial SSU rRNA
Rfam family: Bacterial small subunit ribosomal RNA
Source: RNAcentral
CGCGUAUCCAACCUGCCCACCACUUGGGGAUAACCUUGCGAAAGUAAGACUAAUACCCAAUGAUAUCUCUAGAAGACAUCUGAAAGAGAUUAAAGAUUUAUCGGUGAUGGAUGGGGAUGCGUCUGAUUAGCUUGUUGGCGGGGUAACGGCCCACCAAGGCAACGAUCAGUAGGGGUUCUGAGAGGAAGGUCCCCCACAUUGGAACUGAGACACGGUCCAAACUCCUACGGGAGGCAGCAGUGAGGAAUAUUGGUCAAUGGACGAGAGUCUGAACCAGCCAAGUAGCGUGCAGGAUGACGGCCCUAUGGGUUGUAAACUGCUUUUAUAAGGGAAUAAAGUGAGUCUCGUGAGACUUUUUGCAUGUACCUUAUGAAUAAGGACCGGCUAAUUCCGUGCCAGCAGCCGCGGUAAUACGGAAGGUCCGGGCGUUAUCCGGAUUUAUUGGGUUUAAAGGGAGCGUAGGCCGGAGAUUAAGCGUGUUGUGAAAUGUAGACGCUCAACGUCUGCACUGCGGCGCGAACUGGUUUCCUUGAGUACGCGCAAAGUGGGCGGAAUUCGUGGUGUAGCGGUGAAAUGCUUAGAUAUCACGAAGAACUCCGAUUGCGAAGGCAGCUCACUGGAGCG